GACGCUCCGGUUGUUUAGUGGUUAGAGCAUCCACCUCAGAUACGAGAGGUCGUGGGUUCAAUCCCCGAUCGAGUCA
Molecule: non-coding RNA, 76 nt
Organism: Potamilus streckersoni
Lineage: Eukaryota; Metazoa; Mollusca; Bivalvia; Unionida; Unionidae
Source: the annotation of a GenBank genome assembly